GUAAAAUCCCAAGAAUUUUACCGAUGUGACGUUGGUGGGUUUUGAAGAUAUAAAUAGUUCCUGAGUCUUGUCUCCAUUGAGUUUCAGUUUAUUUGCUGUGAACCAUUCAUUGGCAUCUUCAAGGAUUUUUCUCAUUUUUGGUUUUAGCGUAUCCUCUGUUUCUUCUUUGAUGCAGAAGGAAGUGUCGUCCGCAUAUAGACACUGUCCAUCCACUCUCAUAUUGAUAGGCAAGUCAUUUACAUAGAUUAUAAAUAGCAGUGGACCGAGGAUUGAUCCCUGGGGCACUCCACACCUUGUUGGCAGAGGCUUUGACCAUUUUUCAUUCCAUUUUACUAUCUGGGUUCUAUUUUCAAGGGAAGAAUUUGUCAAAGGCAGCUGUCAGAGUUGUAUGGAAGACAGUGUAGGCCUCUUUUGCAUUACGGUGUUUGAAGACACGAGCCCACUCAAUUCCGGUUAAGUACUCCUUAAAGUAGUUCUUGCACUGGGUUCUUAAUCUUCAGGACUUGACAGUAGUGAUCAGACAUGCACCAACUUUUUGUCUCUUUUGAGAAGAUUUCUUCUAUGUUAAUAUUUGAAAAUAUAUUAUCUAUGCAGCUAGAAGAAGUUUCAGUUGUUCUAGAUGCCUCUCUCAUUAGUGGUUGCAUACCAUAUGUUGUGAAAGUUUCGAUUAAUAAAGAUUGUUCGACGCCA
Tribolium castaneum (red flour beetle) is the source of this 690-nucleotide long non-coding RNA. RefSeq lists it as uncharacterized. Lineage: Eukaryota; Metazoa; Arthropoda; Insecta; Coleoptera; Tenebrionidae. The record is from RefSeq and is a predicted model, not a curated record. The transcript has 3 exons.